UCGAGCGGACAGAUGGGAGCUUGCUCCCUGAUGUUAGCGGCGGACGGGUGAGUAACACGUGGGUAACCUGCCUGUAAGACUGGGAUAACUCCGGGAAACCGGGGCUAAUACCGGAUGGUUGUCUGAACCGCAUGGUUCAGACAUAAAAGGUGGCUUCGGCUACCACUUACAGAUGGACCCGCGGCGCAUUAGCUAGUUGGUGAGGUAACGGCUCACCAAGGCGACGAUGCGUAGCCGACCUGAGAGGGUGAUCGGCCACACUGGGACUGAGACACGGCCCAGACUCCUACGGGAGGCAGCAGUAGGGAAUCUUCCGCAAUGGACGAAAGUCUGACGGAGCAACGCCGCGUGAGUGAUGAAGGUUUUCGGAUCGUAAAGCUCUGUUGUUAGGGAAGAACAAGUGCCGUUCAAAUA
RNAcentral lists this ribosomal RNA (414 nucleotides) under Bacillus sp. 145. RNAcentral's name for it is "bacterial SSU rRNA". It matches the Rfam family "Bacterial small subunit ribosomal RNA", at positions 62 to 466 of the family's 1533-position model. Lineage: Bacteria; Bacillati; Bacillota; Bacilli; Caryophanales; Bacillaceae. The record is from RNAcentral.